RNAcentral lists this long non-coding RNA (3283 nucleotides) under Nicotiana benthamiana. RNAcentral's name for it is "long non-coding RNA (NBEN_LNC022625)". Lineage: Eukaryota; Viridiplantae; Streptophyta; Magnoliopsida; Solanales; Solanaceae. The record is from RNAcentral.
AAAAGAAAAAUCCCAAAUGAUUAUUAUUAAAAUCCGGGCCUCGAGUUCAAGUCUUGAUACAAACAAAAGGACGAACGUUUUAGCUUGAAUCUGCUACUUAACUCAAGACCCGAAACAAAAUAUUUAAACACUAACGGAUCAACUGUCAAUCUUACUCUCAGGCCCAACAGGCCUAAACCAUAUACUACGCACACCUAUAGGCCUGAAGAUAAAAUAGCUUUCCAGCAUACAAAUCAUGUAAAGUAUUCAAGUCCUUAAUAAGACUUACACCAAUAAGAUCAUAUAAAUUCCUACUUUGUCAAAGUGCAUGAGAACAUGCGGGCAUAGGUCUUAAACAGAUAACACAAAAUGAACAAAUUAAUUACUCCCAAGUUUGAAGUUGCAAUUGAUUUCAGAAGCACCUGCACGCCCCAUUGUUCUUGAUUCCUUUUGAUUUCUUUUAAAACAAACAUGAACACUAACUAAGUGAGUGCUGACUACAGAUGAAUGAAGGCUUAAUGAUCACAAAUGAAGAAAAUUCAAACACCAUCCAGUUAUGCUCAUACGAAAGCCUACAACUCCAUAGCUAUUCUGGAUACACAAAUUGUACCUAAUGUUCUCGAGGUAAAAGUAGUUCAACAUUCAAAUUAACCAAUAUAACCAAGGACCUUAAUAACUUUUCCUUGUUUCAAAAAUCAUCACAAUGCAAAGCUAUAGCUAAAAAUCUUGCAGAAUUAUAAUCACUAAACAACCAAACAAUUGGAAUGAAUACAACAAAAUCAAAUCCCAAAACUCUUCAUAGAAUCAAACACAUAGUAGAACUUCGUUAGGCCUCAAAAUAUCACAUCAUUUUUAUUGCAUUAAGGAGAUUACAGCUUCUAACUCUAGUUUGUACCUGGAUAAAUGAAACAUAAGAAGAAGAAGAAGAAGAAAGGAUAAAAAAUGAGUGCCAAACAAGUAGCACUCGGCAAUCACAGACAACGACGAAAUGCAGUUGAUAUUAGCCCAGAAAUAACUUAAUGAUCCCAGAAGUGUUUUUAAACUAGAUGAGACUGAAUAUCAACUUAUAUACCACACCAAACGGCCCAGAAAUGAAUAGAAGAGAUUAAUACUCAACAGGUGAGCCACACCUGGCUUGAAUUAGCCAAAUCCAAAUCUAGAGGACUUGAACUAUUUUUAAAAAAAUACCAAAUCGAACAGAUCAAUGAGAUUCAAACAACUUUCAUCAUGAAUGAGCUAGAAACUCAAAGUAAAUAAGGAAUUCUAUUGUAAUGGUUUUUUUUGGCUAUAUUUUCUUCUGUUUUUGGUUUUUUCUUUUGAAAAUGCUAAGUCCUAGGGGAAUUUCAGAUCUGGAAGCUUGGGGAGUAUUUUUGGGGAAUUUUAGGUUGCCCAAUUUGUGCCUCAAGGCCCUAGUGAUGCCCUUUUAUAGGAACAAUUAAGAGGGCAUCAGAUUAAUCUUUACAAAAUAGUUCCUCUUUUUAUUUCUUUUUAACCCUCUAUUUUUCUGACUUGUUACUCAAGUAAAGGCCUUUAAUUACUGAAAUUCUACUUGUAACCCCAUCUAGAGGGUUCUAAAGUGUUCUUUUGCCUAUGCAAUACCUCUAUCACCCUUAUCCUUAAUUUAAAAUUACUAAUUCUAAUAAAACUACCCUUUUCCCAUGCCCAAACUGCCCUUGAACUUUCUUGAAACUACAAAUCUUACAUCUAACUAGCCAUCACCCUCCUUUACCCUAAUCAAAGUCAAUUAAAGCUAAUCAAAGUGUUGAAUUCACUCAGCUAUAUCCAACCACUAACUAACCUUAACAAUUAUUCAAAGAUUUACUUCAAAGAACAAUCAUCGAGGGAACUUAAACAGAACAAACAUUAGAGAGAACAAAAUAGUCCCCCAUCUAGAGGGUUCUAGAGUGUUAUUUUACCUAUGCAUUGCCUAUAUUACCCUUGAAUUUAUUUUGAAUUUACCAUUUUUAAUAAAACUAUCCUUUUUCAUACCUAAACUACCCCUGAAACCCUCAUGAAAUUACUAACCCACCCAAUUAACUAACCAAUCAGACCCUUUUCACCUUAGCUAAAAUUAACUAGAACUAACGAAUCAUAUGAUUUAUUCAGCUAUAAUCCAACCAGGUUCGCCUCUAAUACAAAAUAUUUAAACUGAAUUAAACUAUUACUUAUCCUAAUGCAUAUUCUAACAAGCUGUUAAUCAAACGAUAAUAGUCGUCACCGUUAAACUAACAUCUCAAAAGCAGAAUCACCAAUUAAUCAGAAUAAAGAAGAAACCGAAUAAUAGAAGCAGGCAUCCACAUGAGCUAUCAUUAACACUAUUUAUUCAACUAAUAACAACUAUUAUUUAUGCAUGACACUGAAAUAUGAUCGAUAAACAGAUAACCCAACUAAAUAAUUAAGCUACCGAUGAGUAAGAGCCUAAAUCCUACUGUAAAUUGAAAUGGCUAAUCUGAUAACUAAAACACAAAUUAAGCUAACGUAACAAUAUUAAACUCAAGCAAGUAAAAAAUAAAAUCAGAGUUAACUAUGGACGAUUUCUAGAAAUCAAACUUAUUGAGCGGAAGAAAGAGAAGGAGAAAUUAAACUAUACUAAUAAAAUUAAGUCAGAACAUUAAAGAAAACUUACUAUAAAGGACACUCGAUCGAGAAAACUUCCCAAAAACUCAUUUGAACGCGCAUAACACUAGAUUUGAAAUCUGAUGAGACCCAGUGACCUUUGACGGAAACUGACCAUAGAUAUGUGAAGACGAGGGCGAUGAGAGUGCAUGGUAUCAAAUUCGUCUUGUUAGACAAUUUUGUGUUUUGGGAUGAACUUUCAACUACUUAUUCGAAAAGAUCGGGAAAUCAUUGCCAUGGAUGGAAAGAGGAGAGUGGGGAGGACGAGGGGUGUAAAUUUGGGUGUGAUUGGCUUCGCCGCCUCCUUGGGCGGGGGCGGCGGCCCCUAAGGUUUGACAGAUUUGAGGUGAUUGGGUGGGAUUUGGAGAAAAUCAAUGGCGUAUAUAGAACGGGGAGGUUAAGGAGAAGGGUUGGUGUCAUUUUGGGGUCCAUCGGAGCUUCGCCGCCAAUGGCGGCGGUUUUCGGCUGGUGGCAGACAGCGGAGGCACGGCAGAGGACGUGGGGGUGAAUUUAGUACGAGGAAGAUACAAUUGUCUAAGGUUUGGUUAAUUUUUUAGGACAGUUUUAUUUAAUCACUGAGAGAGAACCACAGAUGUUGGAUUAAAAGGAUUGAACGGAUCAGAUCCAAAGGCCCGCAAAAUAACAUUGUUUUGGGGCUCUACAAAUCGGACUGGGUCGGGUGUUGUGG